UAACUCACUACAGCACCCUCAGAACUGGACUGGAUAGGCGCUCUUGGCCACAUAUGCUUUUAUUGGAAGCUGCCUCUUUUAUUGAAUUCCUAUUAAUAGACCUGAGAGUACUGAGCACUCAGGCGUAGGAUGAUCAUAUUCAUUAGCAGGAGGUACAAAAGACAACAGUGGAAAAGACAGUGCCUAAGUAACAGCUUUGAUCUGGAUACUUGUUAAAGGCUGGGCACAGUGGCUCAUGCCUGUAAUCCCAGCACUUUGGGAAGCCAAGGUAGGAGGAACACUUGAGACCAGGAGUUUGAGACCAGCCUAGGCAACAUAGCGAGACCCUGUCUCUACAAAAAGUAAAUAAAUAAAAAUUAGCUGGGUGUGGUGGCGAGUGCUUGUAGUUCUAGUUAGGAGGCUGAGGCA
This 408-nucleotide long non-coding RNA is filed under the name Homo sapiens (human). RNAcentral's name for it is "non-protein coding lnc-OGT-3:1". Lineage: Eukaryota; Metazoa; Chordata; Mammalia; Primates; Hominidae. The record is from RNAcentral.